AAAUCUAAAGCAGACAGGCAUUUGUUUCAUAGAUUAAACUUUGACUUUUACAAAUGCCGGGUUUCCAUCUUUCAACUCUCGACUCGAGAAUUCUAUGUGGUGAAGUUGAUUGUUUGGCACAAAUCUUCAAACUACAUGAUGUUAUAUUCCAUGAUCAUAUUAUUGUUUGACAUCGAUGGCCCCUUGAUUUAAUUCUUGCAGCAUUACUCACAGUUUGCAGACUUAUCAACACCCAAUUAAGUUAGAGGCCAAUGCCAAAGGCACGCUCUACUAGGCGGCAAAGCACGUGGACAGUCUAUUGAAUAUCUUACGCAAGGGAUGUCGGUAUUUGUUUCUUCGUCUGUUCUUCUACCUCUUGUUAUUAUCAAGCUCUUGGUGUCUGAGAAAUUUUCGAUUCCUCUUCAUUAAAUCAUUGUGGGAGAAAAUGCAAGCCGGUCGUGACACUUCAUUUAUUAAGGAAAUAAUAACAUCUAAUUAGAUUAUUCGAAACGUUUAAAUUUAGUUCAACCAGCACUUGCAACUUAAAUUAGAUGGUAAACUCUCAGGAGAAGCGAUUGCUUUUGCUAGGAACUCUGAUUCCUUUACCUUUAAUUUCGACAGAUUUUCAGUGGAGUUAAUGCGAUUCCUUAGGAUUAUUUCAAUCUUCUGAAAUCCACUUUAAAAAUAGGGACCUUUUAUAGCCAGCUAUUUGGCGGUCAAACAAUAUUUGGUCGGACUACAAUGCAGAAUUAGUAGAACAUGUGACGUCGUACUGUACUGAACAGGUGAAAAAAUAUUGCUUCGAAUGCAUCGACAAUCGUUCGUGAUAUUAACUAUAAUGGAGACUAUCCACACUAAGAUUCUAUUGAGGUAAAAUUCAGCAGUCGACCAAACCACCUGGGUCUAUGCAACCUUAGAACUUGUUUGUUAUUAGUCAGGGUUACGGAUUUUCCACGGCGGCCAAGGCCACGGAAGCUUUUGAUUUUGUUUUUUAACAAAACGAUGCUUUAAAUAAACAGUCUAAGUUGGAUUAAUAAGGCAACGGACGGCAGAGCUUUUGUGUCGUGUGUUUAAUUCGUUUACCGCUGUUUCUGUGCUGCAGCUGCGCCUUGCUCAGCAAUGCGGAGCAAUUUUUUUAAACAUUCCUGAAGAAAAAAAUUAUCUUUCAAUUUUCAUUGUAAGAGUUUCGGAUAUUUCAUGAUUCGUUUUUAGCGUCUUCUCCGAUGAGGUUGAAAUAAGUACCUAUAAGUAUUAUGUUACCUUUUUUAGGUAGGUAAACAUCACGUUUAGCCCCCAUGCGAUGUGAUGUUUGGGAAUAAAGUUGUACCAAACGUUUCUUAAGAAUUCAAUACGUUAGAGGAAUCCAACUUGAAUCUUUUAAAAGAACUUCCAUUUCUUCCCACGGAAAACUUCUAUUUCUUUUGCGAUCUCAUAAUUAUAGCAACAACUAAGUGUCCAUUGACUAAAGGGCGAGUAAAAACAUAUUAGGAAUAUUUUUUCGAUGUUUAAUCUCUCUCGGCAAACACUUAUUGCAAACAUUUAUUUCACGGCAGCUUACGUCAAUAGUCCGGUUCAAAUGACUUUGGCCUUGGCCUUUUCAUUUGCAUUUAAAUACCUCUAAAAACUACUACUCCAGGGCUUUCCGCUCUUUUCACAAAAAUUAAUUGUCCUUUUAUAUUACGCACGCCUAAACAGGAAACUGACGAAGUUCAUUGUCCCAAAGCCGACUUCUUCACUUCGUUUGUUAAGCAAUCUCUUGCAAACUGACAAAGCGUUCAAAUAUCACGAGUUAUCUGCACUUUCUUAAGGAGGGACAAAAUAGAUAUAAUAAAAACAAAAACAAAAAAACAGGAAGAAUUUCGUUUUUGGGUAAGAGAGUAACUAGUGUUUGAGGAGAACAAAAAGAACCUACGUAAGAAACUUAACUGUGUAACUUCUUAUACGGUUGUUCUCAACUGACCUUGGAAUGCAGCUUUGCAAAGCAUUACACAUUCUUUCCUUACGUAGGAGGUAAAAACAGAAUGUCUGAGACAAUUCACGGAAUUCACAAAUCUCAAAGGUUGUGGGAAAAUCUUGCAAGAGAUCAUUAAGAGACUUGUUUUGUCUGGUUGCGUAAGAAAAUACAAAGAACACAUUAUGAUUAAAAGGAUGUGAUAUGCAUCUUACGUGAUAGUCCGCGAUGACAUUGGCCUUGACAAUUCCAUGCGGAGCUCCGCCUCUGUCGCGCCACAUGAGACAUUUGACAACCGAAGCGGAAGACCGCUUCUUAACUCUUCCUUAAGUCUCAAACCCGACCUGGGUUACCAAAUGCGGUAAGCUUUGCAGUACAGCUUAUGUAAGUUAUGUUCGUGAUUAAACAGUUUUGCAUCACAUA
Pocillopora damicornis (cauliflower coral) is the source of this 2353-nucleotide long non-coding RNA. NCBI's taxonomy places the organism in Eukaryota, Metazoa, Cnidaria, Anthozoa, Scleractinia, Pocilloporidae. The record is from RefSeq and is a predicted model, not a curated record.